AUGUCGUAUCAGCUUGUUGGUGAGGUAACGGCUCACCAAGGCUUCGACGCGUAGCGGGACUGAGAGGUUGACCCGCCACAUCGGGACUGAGACACUGCCCGGACCCCCACGGGGGGCUGCAGCAACGAAUCUUGCGCAAUGGACGAAAGUCUGACGCAGCGACGCCGCGUGCAGGACGAAGCCCUUCGGGGUGUAAACUGCUGUUAGGGUGACGAAAGAUCUGAUCGAUCCCAAAGACAGGACCGGCUAACUUCGUGCCAGCAGCCGCGGUAAUACGAAGGGUCCGGGCGUUGUUCGGAAUUACUGGGCUUAAAGAGCACGUAGGCGGGAGGGUACGUGUCUUGUGACAGUCCUGGGCUUAACCCAGGAAUUGCCGGGCAUAACUGCCUUCCUUGAGGCAGGUAGGGGCGCGUGGAACCUCUAGGUGGAGCGGUGAAAUGCGUAGAUAUCUAGAGGAACGCCUGUGGUGAAAACGACGCGCUGGGCCUGUCCUGACGCUGAGGUGCGAAAGCGUGGGGAGCGAACAGGAUUAGAUACCCUGGUAGUCCACGCCGUAAACGAUGUCUACUAAGUCGCGGGAGUUCUGACGCUGUCGCGGGCCGAAGCAAAAGUAUUAAGUAGACCGCCUGGGGAGUACGGUCGCAAGGCUAAAACUCAAAGGAAUUGACGGGGGCUCACACAAGCGGUGGAGCAUGUGGCUUAAUUCGAAGCAACGCGAAGAACCUUAUCCUGGGUUUGACAUGCUUGGAUGCCGCCUAUGAAAGUAGGUUAGGCUGCCUUCGGGUGAAACUUGCACAGGUGCUGCAUGGCUGUCGUCAGCUCGUGUCGUGAGAUGUUGGGUUAAGUCCCUUAACGAGCGAAACCCUUGUCGUUAGUUGCCAGCGGGUCAUGCCGGGGACUCUAACGAGACUGCCGGUGUCAAACCGGAGGAAGGUGGGGAUGACGUCAAGUCCUCAUGGCCUUUAUGCCCAGGGCUGCACACGUGCUACAAUGGCGACUACAAACCGACGCAAUACCGUGAGGUGGAGCAAAUCGGAAAAAAGUCGCCCCAGUUCGGAUUGUAGGCUGCAACUCGCCUGCAUGAAGUCGGAAUCGCUAGUAAUCGCAGAUCAGCUAUGCUGCGGUGAAUAUGUUCCUGAGCCUUGUACACACCGCCCGUCAAGUCACGGAAGCUGGGUGCACCUGAAGUCGG
RNAcentral lists this ribosomal RNA (1192 nucleotides) under uncultured organism. RNAcentral's name for it is "bacterial SSU rRNA". It matches the Rfam family "Bacterial small subunit ribosomal RNA", at positions 233 to 1430 of the family's 1533-position model. The record is from RNAcentral.